GAGUAGUAGCGAUGUCGGUUUACUCAUUUUCCCCCAACUUCUCGGCCAGCAGUGCAUUGUAUUCAUCUCUCAGGCUGUUAUAUUUCUCACUCAAGACCUUGAACGCUUCCAUUUUCUCCUCGGGUAUUUCCUUCUUUCUCUUCUCCAAACGGAGCUUCACUGAUUCAAUUUGUCUCUUCAGCUCUUGAAUCUUCAUCGUCUUCUCCUCAUGCUGUUUCUGCAGCAUUUCCAACUCCGAUGCCUUACUGUUUGCUGCAUUACCAGAGAGUUAUAUGCCUUUGGGAUCAUCAAAUAUCAAACAGUAUAAACAGUAAGUCAUUGUACUGUACAACCAUUACUUUUCUAGGUAUAAACAAGGGAUGGGAAACAUAGAAUUCUAGGGUUAUAUAUACCUUGAGGAAUGAGUGAGCUGCCACCCUCCAUGACUUCGGAUUCCUGGAAGAAAAAAAUCGUCUCAAAUUAGCGGUUUCGUAAUAGUAGAGAAGAUAAACCAUUAAGCAUAUAUCCAUGCAUUCAACCUUCUAAUCUUAAUUUCCCUUAAAUUUUUUUGACUGCCAAACAUCUCUCAUACAAUGCUAGCUGCUUAUACAUCGCUACAUUACACCAAGUUUCCCUCACUUACUUUCUAUUUUCCUUCUUUUUCACAGAAAUCCCUUGUAGAAAAUAACUGCACACCUACGAAAGAUCUGCAGUAGUAGUUCCAAAAGUGCCAAGAACCUGAUCCAGGACCUGUUUACAGGUCAACAGAAUAGGUUGAUUUGGAAUGCUUAA
RNAcentral lists this long non-coding RNA (771 nucleotides) under Vitis vinifera (wine grape). RNAcentral's name for it is "long non-coding RNA (VVIN_LNC001931)". The record is from RNAcentral. Lineage: Eukaryota; Viridiplantae; Streptophyta; Magnoliopsida; Vitales; Vitaceae.